GCCCUUUCCCACUUCCGCAACCCUAUCGCUGCUCCUCUCCUGGCGCCGCUCGACCUCCUCCUUCCUCUCGCUCAGGAUACCAGGAGAAGGCAGGGGUCUAGGGCGGCACUCCGGCGCGGCGGCAGAGGGAAUCAGACCCUCCUCUCCUCAAGGGGAAAACCAACCAGAGAGCUUCGCCCAGCGCGCGAUGGGGAAGAAGAAGGAGCGGUCAGUGAAUGUGUCGGGCAAGCCCCGUCACUCUCUCGACGUCAACCGCCCCAAUGACAAGAAGGGUGCUGGCGGCGGCAGCGGCGCCGGCGGGAGCCGGUCCGCGGCCACGGUGCGGCGGCUCAAGAUGUACAAACUAAGGCCCAUGAGGGACCGCGGUGGGAAGAUCGUCAAGCACGACCUCCAGUCCAAGGAGCUCCCCAACACCCGCAUCGAGCCUGACCGCCGGUGGUUCGGAAAUACACGAGUUAUCAAUCAGAAAGAACUUGAAUAUUUCAGGCAAGAACUCCAGGCACGGCUUACAAAUAACUACAGUGUGUUACUGAAAUCUAAACAGCUGCCACUAUCGCUUCUGCAGGAUCAUCAGAAGCAAGCUCGUGCACAUCUUCUUGACACUGAGCCUUUUGAGCAUGCCUUUGGACCAAAGGGCAAGCGUAAACGACCAAAUCUAUCCAGUCUUGAUUAUGAAUCUCUUAUAAAGAAAGCUGAUGAUUCUCAAGAUGCGUUUGAGGAAAAACAUGCUUCAUCAAAGUUGCCAAAGGAUGAAGAGGAAGAUGGCUUAAGGGAUCUAGUCAGGCAUAAUAUGUUUGAGAAGGGACAAAGCAAAAGAAUUUGGGGUGAACUUUAUAAAGUUCUUGACUCUUCAGAUGUUGUUGUGCAGGUGUUGGAUGCCAGGGAUCCAAUGGGCACGAGAUGCUACCAUCUGGAGAAACAUCUGAAGGAGAAUGCCAAGCACAAACACCUGGUAUUCUUACUAAAUAAGUGUGAUCUAAUACCUGCUUGGGCAACAAAAGGGUGGUUGCGUACUCUGUCCAGGGACUAUCCCACCCUAGCAUUCCAUGCGAGCAUCAACAAGUCUUUUGGAAAAGGAUCUCUUCUUUCAGUAUUAAGGCAGUUUGCCCGUUUGAGGAGUGACAAGCAAGCCAUAUCUGUUGGAUUUGUUGGAUAUCCCAACGUUGGGAAGUCCUCAGUUAUCAACACAUUACGCUCCAAGACUGUUUGCAAGGUAGCUCCGAUUCCUGGAGAGACUAAGGUGUGGCAAUACAUCACCAUGACUAAAAGAAUCUUCUUAAUUGAUUGCCCUGGGGUUGUGUACCAAAACAAUGAUACAGAGACUGAUGUAGUUCUUAAGGGUGUGGUACGGGUGACAAAUUUGGAUGAUGCUUCUGAGCACAUUGGGGAAGUUCUAAGGCGUGUAAAGAAGGAGCAUNNNNNNNNNNNNNNNNNNNNNNNNNNNNNGGCUGAUGAUAAUGAUUUUCUCGUCCAGCUGAGCAAGAUGAGUGGAAAGCUACUCAAGGGUGGGGAACCUGAUCUGACAACAGCAGCCAAGAUGGUACUUCAUGACUGGCAGAGGGGCAAGAUACCCUUUUUUGUGCCUCCGCCACAGCAGAAUGAAGAUGGUCCUUGUAAGAUUACUGAACCUGUGGAGGGAUCUGGUGAGGAAGUGGUCAGCAGUGACCGGGCUGCUGCUGCCAUGAAAGCCAUUGCGGGAAUUAUCUCUUCGCAGCAAACGAUGAAUGUCCCCUGCCAGAAGGAACUUGGCAGAAAUGGCGAAGACAGUGAACUCCCGGAGCAAUCAGACCUUUUGGUAAAAGACUGAAAGGCUAGCAAUCCUGCAUGAGAAGAUCCCUGGUAUUUUUGCCCGCGAACAUCUUCACGAGUGCCACCGAAGUUAUUCACUGUUUGCCAUGAAGGACACAGUUACGCAGGGGGGACAAUCCUUUGAUAUGUAUCGUUCAUGUUAUCUGUAGCUUUCUAAUGGAUUAGGUAGAGCGUUGUUGGCAUCUACAUCAAAACUUGUCUUUUGUUCACCUCAAGUUCUAGUUAGAUUUCACACCCUGUUUUAUACAUAGAUAAAUACCAUUUGGUUCAAAAUGCAACUUCUGCAAUUAUGCCUUUCUAAUUUUUGUUUUCCAC
RNAcentral lists this ribosomal RNA (2124 nucleotides) under Triticum aestivum (bread wheat). Its description in RNAcentral is "partial small subunit ribosomal RNA". Lineage: Eukaryota; Viridiplantae; Streptophyta; Magnoliopsida; Poales; Poaceae. The record is from RNAcentral.